RNAcentral lists this ribosomal RNA (496 nucleotides) under uncultured bacterium. RNAcentral describes it as "partial 16S ribosomal RNA". It matches the Rfam family "Bacterial small subunit ribosomal RNA", at positions 28 to 507 of the family's 1533-position model. The record is from RNAcentral.
GAUGAACGCUGGCGGCGUGCCUAAUACAUGCAAGUCGAGCGAACCAAUGGGAGCUUGCCCUCUGUGGUUAGCGGCGGACGGGUGAGUAACACGCGGGUAACACGCAUGUAAGAUUGGGAUAACUCUGGGAAACAGGAGAUAUUACAGGAUAAUAUUUUGAACCGCAUGGUUCAAAAUUGAAAGACGCGUUCGGCCGUUAACUACAGAUGGACCCGCGGCGCAUUAGCUAGUUGGUGAGGUAACGGCUCACCAAGGCGACGAUGCGUAGCCGACCUGAGAGGGUGAUCGGCCACACUGGAACUGAGACACGGCCCAGACUCCUACGGGAGGCAGCAGUAGGGAAUCUUCCGCAAUGGACGAAAGUCUGACGGAGCAACGCCGCGUGAACGAUGAAGGCCUUCGGGUCGUAAAGUUCUGUUGUUAGGGAAGAACAAAUACCAAAGUAACUGCUGAUACCUUGACGGUACCUAACCAGAAAGCCACGGCUAACUACGUG